This 435-nucleotide ribosomal RNA is filed under the name uncultured bacterium. RNAcentral describes it as "partial 16S ribosomal RNA". It matches the Rfam family "Bacterial small subunit ribosomal RNA", at positions 29 to 507 of the family's 1533-position model. The record is from RNAcentral.
AGCGAACGCUGGCGGCAGGCUUAACACAUGCAAGUCGAGCGGGCAUCCUUGUGGUGUCCGCGGCAGACGGGUGAGUAACGCGUGGGAACGUGCCCUUCGGUUCGGAAUAACUCAGGGAAACUUGAGCUAAUACCGGAUACGCCCUUUUGGGGAAAGGUUUACUGCCGAAGGAUCGGCCCGCGUCUGAUUAGCUAGUUGGUGAGGUUAUGGCUCACCAAGGCGACGAUCAGUAGCUGGUCUGAGAGGAUGAUCAGCCACACUGGGACUGAGACACGGCCAGACUCCUACGGGAGGCAGCAGUGGGGAAUAUUGGACAAUGGGGGCAACCCUGAUCCAGCCAUGCCGCGUGAGUGAUGACGGCCUUAGGGUUGUAAAGCUCUUUUCUCCGGGACGAUAAUGACGGUACCGGAGGAAUAAGCCCCGGCUAACUUCGUG